RNAcentral lists this ribosomal RNA (433 nucleotides) under uncultured bacterium. RNAcentral describes it as "partial 16S ribosomal RNA". It matches the Rfam family "Bacterial small subunit ribosomal RNA", at positions 29 to 507 of the family's 1533-position model. The record is from RNAcentral.
AACGAACGCUGGCGGCAUGCCUAACACAUGCAAGUCGAACGAGACCUUCGGGUCUAGUGGCGCUCGGGUGCGUAACGCGUGGGAACCUGCCCUUAGGUUCGGAAUAACUCCCCGAAAGGGGUGCUAAUACCGGAUAAUGUCUUCCGACCAAAGAUUUAUCGCCUUUGGAUGGGCCCGCGUUGGAUUAGCUAGUUGGUAGGGUAAAAGCCUACCAAGGCGACGAUCCAUAGCUGGUCUGAGAGGAUGAUCAGCCACACUGGGACUGAGACACGGCCCAGACUCCUACGGAAGGCAGCAGUGGGGAAUAUUGGACAAUGGGCGAAAGCCUGAUCGAGCAAUGCCGCGUGAGUGAUGAAGGCCUUAGAGUAGUAAAGCUCUUUUACCCGGGAUGAUAAUGACAGUACCGGGAGAAUAAGCUCCGGCUAACUCCGUG